This 456-nucleotide ribosomal RNA is filed under the name uncultured microorganism. Its description in RNAcentral is "bacterial SSU rRNA". It matches the Rfam family "Archaeal small subunit ribosomal RNA", at positions 330 to 745 of the family's 1478-position model. The record is from RNAcentral.
GCGCAGCAGGCGCGAAACUCCGCAAUGCUCGAAAGAGUGACGGGGGAUUCCAAGUGCCUACGCUUAGCGUAGGCUGUUCAGAUGCCUAAAAAGCAUCUGGAGUAAGGGCUGGGUAAGACGGGUGCCAUCUGCAGUGGUAAUGAAAAACUUGCUACUGCAAGGCAUAAGCCGCCGCGGUAAUACCCGCAGCCCGAGUGGUAGUCGCUUUUAUUGGGCCUAAAGCGUCCGUAGCCGGUCUGGUAAAUGCCUGGGGUAAAAUCGUGGGGCCUAACCUCACGAAUUCCGGGUAGACUGCCAGACUUGGGACCGGUUGAGGGAGAGGGUACUCCGAGGGGUAGGGGUGAAAAUCCUGUAAUCCUUGGAGGACCACCGGUGGCGAAAGCGCUCUCCUAGGACGGUCGACGGUGAGGGACGAAAAGCCAGGGGAGCAAAACCGGAUUAGAUAACCCGUGUAGU